AAGGCCGCCGGCCUGCCCGGCAGCCAGUGUUUCCUGGUCUGUCGGGAGGCCUUUGGUGUCGCCGCCGCUCUCACCAUGGCUUGGGUCCAAACUGCGCCACAACCUCUAGGGAGACGUGGGUCCUCGGAGCCACUUUAGUGUCGGACUUGGGGCUGCAGGCAGCUCAGCGGCGGCAGCAGGAGAACAGAAUCUCUGGAUGGACCUUUCCUGGGAAGUUUUGCUAAUUUGCAGCAGCUGGACAAUGUUCCUCAUUAACAUCUGUUUGUCAGCGUAACCGUCACAUAAUUUCACUGUGGGAUUCAGCUCGGAAUUCUUUAUAGAAAACACCUGGAUCCUAGUCUUUCAAUGGCUUCAAGACAACCAGAAGUACCUGCUCUUGAGCCCAGUGGGCCUCUAGACAAGAUGUCCCUGCCCAUCGGGAUAUACCGCAGGGCAUUGAGCUAUGAUGAUGCCCUUGAGGACCCUGCGCCCAUGACUCCUCCUCCAUCCGACAUGGGCAGCAUCCCCUGGAAGCCAGUGAUUCCAGAGCGCAAGUAUCAGCACCUCGCCAAGGUGGAGGAAGGCGAGGCCAGUGUAUCCUCCCCUGCUAUGACUCUGUCAUCAGCCAUUGACAGUACGGAUAAGAUCCCAGUGGUGAAGGCUAAAGCUACCCAUGUCAUCAUGAAUUCUUUGAUCACAAAAACUAAAGCUACAGAGUGGAGAGAGAACAAAAGAAGAGAAGCAGCCUGUGUCAGCCCAGUCCACCCCAAGCAGCACCCCUCAUUCUUCACCCAAGCAUAGGCCCAGAGGCUGGUUUACUUCUGGUUCUCCCACAGCUUUACCUGGCCCAGAUCCUAGCACCAUGGAUUCUGGAAGUGGGGAUAAGGACAGAAACCCAUCAGAUAAAUGGAGCUUCUUUGGACCAAGAUCCCUCCAGAAGUAUGAUUCAGGAAGUUUUGCCACCCAGGCCUACCAAGGAGCCCAGAAACCCUCUGCAAUGGAACUGAUCCGAGCACAGGCCACUAGGAUGGCUGAAGAUCCAGCAACCUUCAAGCCACCCAAGAUGGACAUCCCAGUGAUAGAAGGGAAGAAACAACCCCCACGGACUCAUAAUCUCAAACCCCGUGACUUGAAUGUGCUCACACCCACAGGCUUCUAAAGCUCUUUCUGUUCCAGGGAUUCUAGAGCCCCUCUUCCCUUUUACCUUGGCUCUGACAUAGGAAAGGUAUAUUAAAAAAAAAAAAAAAAAUCUCUUAAACUGAGGCUACACCUGAAGACAUAAUUGGUUUUUGAGAAACAGUAGUGCAGAGUUUGCCCUUGCUGUGUGGAAGAAGCCAUUUUGUACUGCUUUAAAGUUAGGUUAAAUCUCAGCACUUGUGCAUGGGGACUUCAUGAUCUAUUUUUGUAUUAUUUACCCUAGAUAAGACUGUGAUUGUUGCUUACUGAGAUAGUGUUUGUGCUGCUCUAAAAACACAGGCUUCUUGAUCCUUUUACCACCGUCAAUGUGAGCACUGACAAAUCAUGGCAUAGAGAUGCUCACUGACUAGUUCAGACAACUUUAGGCCUCUUGACUGCUGGUGCUGUGUUCCAGCCUUGUCAGGUAGGUGGGCCUAAUAUCUGUUUGAGACCUGGGUACAGUAAAAAGCUAGACUUGGCUCUUUCCAGGCUGAAACUGGAGCCAUCUUGCAUUUUGGUAGAUCUAAUAGACACUUUGUCCUACAGCCACUUCUUCAUGUGGUACCUCCUGGGCCAGUGCUAUUGGAGGAAAGUUUCUUUUUUAUGCCACAAAACACUAGUCUUGCAUAUGCUUUCUUAUACUUUAAUGUGAGAUUAAUUCCAGUUUGGUUGAAAAUUUUCUAAGGGAGAAAAUUCAGUCUACUGAUUUGAUAAAUGGAUGUUAAGAUGGUAACUAUAAUUAGUCUUGAGUUCAUAUGAAAGUAGUAUCACCUUAUUUUGAUUUCCUUGUUCAUCAUCAGGUCAGAGCCUAAAACUUUUUUGGGGCGGGGGUGGUUAGAGAUGGAAGAAUUGAAAAUUCUUUGUAUGAAAGCAUUUGUCACCAAAAUGAACCUCAUACCUUUAUGUAGUGUAUACCUUACUGGGGAAAGGAAAUAGGGAAACCGCCUUUUUAUUUCUCCUCACUGUGUACAUGUUCAGUCACUGUCUUGAACACUGUCUCACACUUGAUUUGGAUAGUAUUUUAUCAGUACAUAAGGAGCUGACCUUUCCAUAGAGAUGUCCUGGAGUCUCAAAUUAUCAGAACAAUUAAUUUAUUUGUGUCUUUUGUCUCUUAUUUUGACAAUAAAAAUCCUUAUGACUUUCUCAAAAAAAAAA
This is an RNA transcript of Nycticebus coucang (slow loris), 2310 nucleotides long. It is a transcript of the gene named putative monooxygenase p33MONOX, with no coding region annotated. NCBI's taxonomy places the organism in Eukaryota, Metazoa, Chordata, Mammalia, Primates, Lorisidae. The transcript has a single exon. The record is from RefSeq and is a predicted model, not a curated record.